GACGAACGCUGGCGGCGUGCCUAAUACAUGCAAGUCGAGCGGACUGAUUAAGAGCUUGCUCUUAUGACGUUAGCGGCGGACGGGUGAGUAACACGUGGGCAACCUGCCCUGUAGAUCGGGAUAACACCGAGAAAUCGGUGCUAAUACCGGGUAAUAUCUGAGAUCACAUGAUCUUAGGUUAAAAGAUGGCUCCGGCUAUCACUACAGGAUGGGCCCGCGGUGCAUUAGCUAGUUGGUAAGGUAAUGGCUUACCAAGGCGACGAUGCGUAGCCGAACUGAGAGGGUGAUCGGCCACACCUGGACUGGGACACGGCCCAAAAUCCUACGGGAAGCAGCAGUAGGGAAUCUUCCGCAAUGGACGAAAGUCUGACGGAGCAACGCCGGGUGAGUGAUGAAGGGUUUCGGCUCGUAAAGCUCUGUUGUUAGGGAAGAAACAGUACCGAACGAACUAGGUCGGUACCUUGACGGUACCUAACCAGAAAGCCACGGCUAACUACGUG
RNAcentral lists this ribosomal RNA (500 nucleotides) under uncultured bacterium. RNAcentral's name for it is "partial 16S ribosomal RNA". It matches the Rfam family "Bacterial small subunit ribosomal RNA", at positions 28 to 507 of the family's 1533-position model. The record is from RNAcentral.